RNAcentral lists this ribosomal RNA (497 nucleotides) under uncultured bacterium. RNAcentral's name for it is "partial 16S ribosomal RNA". It matches the Rfam family "Bacterial small subunit ribosomal RNA", at positions 28 to 507 of the family's 1533-position model. The record is from RNAcentral.
GAUGAACGCUGGCGGCGUGCCUAAUACAUGCAAGUCGAGCGAGCGGACGAGAAGCUUGCUUCUCUGAUGUUAGCGGCGGACGGGUGAGUAACACGUGGAUAACCUACCUAUAAGACUGGGAUAACUUCGGGAAACCGGAGCUAAUACCGGAUAAUAUUUUGAACCGCAUGGUUCAAAAGUGAAAGACGGUCUUGCUGUCACUUAUAGAUGGAUCCGCGCUGCAUUAGCUAGUUGGUAAGGUAACGGCUUACCAAGGCAACGAUGCAUAGCCGACCUGAGAGGGUGAUCGGCCACACUGGAACUGAGACACGGUCCAGACUCCUACGGGAGGCAGCAGUAGGGAAUCUUCCGCAAUGGGCGAAAGCCUGACGGAGCAACGCCGCGUGAGUGAUGAAGGUCUUCGGAUCGUAAAACUCUGUUAUUAGGGAAGAACAUAUGUGUAAGUAACUGUGCACAUCUUGACGGUACCUAAUCAGAAAGCCACGGCUAACCACGUG